Molecule: unclassified non-coding RNA, 274 nt
Filed under: plant metagenome
Description: partial contains small subunit ribosomal RNA, internal transcribed spacer 1, and 5.8S ribosomal RNA
Source: RNAcentral
GUAGGUGAACCUGCGGAAGGAUCAUUAUUGUAUAACCGACGUGCGAGGGCUUGCGCUGAUCCGAAAUGUCGUGCACGCCCGAGUGCCCGCACACACAUCCAUCUCACGCCCAGCCGCACCACCGCUUGGCUCUCCCUCUGGCUGGAUCGGAGGGGGGCUACCGUCUAUACACAAACACUUUAUGCAGCGGAGAAUGUAGUUUUUGUUUUUGCGAUCACGCAAGCAAAACAACUUACAACACGGCAGCUCUUGGCUCCCGCAUCGAUGAAGAACA